RNAcentral lists this long non-coding RNA (2827 nucleotides) under Homo sapiens (human). Its description in RNAcentral is "AQP4 antisense RNA 1". Lineage: Eukaryota; Metazoa; Chordata; Mammalia; Primates; Hominidae. The record is from RNAcentral.
CAUUACUUUCUAGCUGAACACUCAGCUUCAUCCACUCCAGGACAGCUGAGCGUCUGGAUGGUGUCUCACCCUGUUGCCCAGGCUGGAAUACAGUGGCACGAUCCUGGCUCACUGCAAUCUCCAUCUCCCGGGUUCAAGCGAUUCUCCUGCCUCAGCCUCUCAAGUAGCUGGGAUUACAGGGCUUCAGAAGCUGAUGGCAUAGUUAUGAGAGGGGUGAAGACUGCGACUGCAUUUCCAACAGACCCUGAGGACAAUUGGGAAGAAUGUUGCACUGAUCCUGACCUUUUGGCCUGAGGAUGGAAGUCUUCAGUAUCUGUACAACUUUACUCCCAAGAGCUGGUGUAGAAUGAGUUCCUCUGGCCAUGGGAGGAUCGCAGAGGGGCACCUGCCACCAGCAGCCCAGCCUCAGCACUUUUCUCUUCAGCGUCUUCUUCAAGGUAUUUCCAGUUGCCCGCCCUGAACUGUUUCAGAAUGAGGAGGACACCUGGAGGAAUCUACACGUGCAUAGACCAAUUUGCAAAAGAACCUGUGAGCCAACAUUAUUACCUCAGCUGGAAGAAUUAAUAAGCAACACGUUCACCCAAGAAGUAUUUACUGAGCACCUACUAUGUGCAUUAUUUUCUGGUGUUGGGGCUAGGGGGCAAACGACUCUGACAAGUCUCUGUUCUCAAGGUACUCACAUUUAUAUGGAUGAAGAUAGAUAACAAACAAGGAAAAAAUUGGACAGACAAAAAAUUUAGGUGGUGCCAAGUAUGAUGCAAACACUAAAACAGUAAUGCAAUAGAAGAUGUCAGAGGGAGAGUGGGAAGGUUACGUUAAAUAGAUGUCCAAGGAAGAUCUCUCUGAGGAGAAGCUACUAGGGCUGAGAUCUUAAUGACAACAAGGAACCCAAGGGCUGGAAGCAGAGCGUUUUGAACAUGGCCAGUGGGUGCAAAGGCCAUCACACGUGAAUGGGCCUGGCCAGGUGGAAGGACAGAGGGCAAGGCUGUUGUGGUUGCCCUGUGAGUGCGAACGGCCCAAGAUGGGAUGAAAGAGGAGGUCGGGACCACACCGUAUAGGAAUAUCAGAUCAUGGUCAGGGCUUUGGAUUUUACAGGGGUGCAGUAUAAGCCAUGGGGAGUUUUAGACAGGUACAGAAGUAAUUUACAUUUUCUUUCUUUCUUUUUUUUUUUUUUUGAAACGGAGUCUUGCUCUGUCCCCCAGGCUGGAGUGCAGCGGCGCGAUCUCGGCUCACUGCAAGCUCCGCCUCCCGGGUUCACGCCAUUCUCCUGCCUCAGCCUCCCGAGUAGCUGGGACUACAGGCGCCCGCAACCACGCCCGGCUAAUUUUUUGUAUUUUUAGUAGAGAUGGGGUUUCACCAUGUUAGUCAGGAUGGUCUCGAUUUCCUGACCUUGUGAUCCGCCCGCCCCCGCCUCCCAAAGUGCUGGGAUUACAGGCGUGAGCCACCGCGCCCGGCCGUAGUUUACAUUUUCUAAAGCGUACUCUGCCAGCCAAGUGGCAAACAGACUUGGGCCUCUUAAGAGUGGAAGCAGGAGGAAACCCGAAGAUCCUGGAGAGAGACUGGUGGCUGGUACCAGUGGAGAGGGAGCAAAAAGGAAAAUACAGGAUACAAUUUCAGGAAAAAUUUCAUACCAAUUUCCUGAGGUAAUUUCUGAACUCGAACAUUUUCAGUGUCACCACAUUGUGUUUCCUGCUGAAUCAAGUCUACAUCACUUCGGUUUUUAAAGCCUUCCACGAUCCUUCCCUGAACACUGUAGUUUUCACUGAUGGUUGGCUGUUUCAAACUCCCAUAUGAUCCAUACUGUAUCAUUAAUAAGCAAGCAAGGAAUAACACACCCUCUGCUAUUCUGUGCAGUGUUUCAGGUUUUUAGUUUUCUCUUUCAAGAUAGAAAAUCCCUUUAGAGUAGGAACUCGGCUGGCACUUUCUUUCACAUCCUGCAUAGCACUUAGCAAAGUUCUGUACACAGGGCACAUGUGGAAAUUGCUUAUUGAUUGAUUAAAAGCAUAUAUCACUGGCAUUUGUAUCUUCAGUAUUUCUCUUGUAUGAAGAAGGGUGAUUAUCUGUCAAUAUUCAUUGCAUCAUUGAACCAAUGUACAAUGCAUUAAUCAUCACUGAAGAUAACCAGAUGAGGCUUUAUUGUAAUCUCCUUCUAUUUUGCUGAGAUAAUUUCACUUGCUUUAGAGUUUAUGAGGCCAUAAGUGGCUCCCAUCUGUUGAUGAACAUAUUUCUAAGAGUCAUUUAGUCUCAAGUAUGGAAUACUUGAGGGGAAGUUAAAUUGUAACUUUUAUAUUAAGUGUCAUCUUAGUAACAGAACCAAAAUUGGAAGCAUGUGUUCAAUUUUGGUUUUUCAUUUUCAAAGCUUUAGGUCAGGCAAAGAAUUAAUUUCAUUUGUUUACAAAGUAGAUUAUGCCUAAUAAAAUCUAUUUUGUUUAUGGUCACAUUUUAAUCAAUCCACUGCUUUAGAAAAUGAGAGAAUUCUGAUUGGCUAAUCAUUCAACAUAGUAAAUUACAUUAUUCCACAUCCACAGAACACUGGCCUAAUUGCAUUAUCCAGUAAUGAUAAAAAUAUUCCUUUUAAUACAUUUUGAGCAAGGCAUAUACCAGUGAUGAAACAGGGAAGAAUCUUGUUUAUUCCAUCCUUGUUUGAUGAUCGACCACAGAAUAUAACAUAACACUUCUGUGUAUAAGAAUUUUUUCAACAUUAAGGAUAAUAAGGACAAGGUAGUUUUCACUGGAUCCUUACUGGUACUCUGAAUUUUCACUAUUUGUCCGCAUUUCUUCUCCUUCCCGGAAAUUUGUUUUCUGCGAAAAACAAGUGCUACUUUGU